CCAGACUCCUACGGGAGGCAGCAGUGGGGAAUAUUGCACAAUGGGGGAAACCCUGAUGCAGCGACGCCGCGUGAGUGAAGAAGUAUUUCGGUAUGUAAAGCUCUAUCAGCAGGGAAGAAAAUGACGGUACCUGACUAAGAAGCCCCGGCUAACUACGUGCCAGCAGCCGCGGUAAUACGUAGGGGGCAAGCGUUAUCCGGAUUUACUGGGUGUAAAGGGAGCGUAGACGGCAUGGCAAGCCAGAUGUGAAAGCCCGGGGCUCAACCCCGGGACUGCAUUUGAAACUGUCAGGCUGGAGUGCAGGAGAGGUAGGUGGAAUUCCUAGUGUAGCGGUGAAAUGCGUAGAUAUUAGGAGGAACACCAGUGGCGAAGGCGGUCUGCUGGACAGCAACUGACGCUGAGGCGCGAAAGCGUGGGGAGCAAACAGGAUUAGAUACCCUCGUACCU
RNAcentral lists this ribosomal RNA (447 nucleotides) under uncultured bacterium. Its description in RNAcentral is "bacterial SSU rRNA". It matches the Rfam family "Bacterial small subunit ribosomal RNA", at positions 331 to 795 of the family's 1533-position model. The record is from RNAcentral.